RNAcentral lists this ribosomal RNA (439 nucleotides) under uncultured Bacillota bacterium. RNAcentral's name for it is "bacterial SSU rRNA". It matches the Rfam family "Bacterial small subunit ribosomal RNA", at positions 917 to 1359 of the family's 1533-position model. The record is from RNAcentral. Lineage: Bacteria; Bacillati; Bacillota.
GGACCCGCACAAGCAGCGGAGCAUGUGGUUUAAUUCGAAGCAACGCGAAGAACCUUACCAGAGCUUGACAUCCCUCUGACCGGUCCUUAAUCGGACCUUUCUUCGGACAGAGGAGACAGGUGGUGCAUGGUUGUCGUCAGCUCGUGUCGUGAGAUGUUGGGUUAAGUCCCGCAACGAGCGCAACCCUUGUCAUUAGUUGCCAUCAUUAAGUUGGGCACUCUAGUGAGACUGCCGGGGAUAACUCGGAGGAAGGUGGGGAUGACGUCAAAUCAUCAUGCCCCUUAUGUUCUGGGCUACACACGUGCUACAAUGGUCGGUACAACGAGAAGCGAGACCGCGAGGUGGAGCAAAUCUUCAAAAACCGAUCCCAGUUCGGAUUGCAGGCUGAAACUCGCCUGCAUGAAGUCGGAGUUGCUAGUAAUCGCAGAUCAGAAUGCUG